Molecule: small nuclear RNA, 103 nt
Organism: Saimiri boliviensis boliviensis (Bolivian squirrel monkey)
Lineage: Eukaryota; Metazoa; Chordata; Mammalia; Primates; Cebidae
Source: RefSeq, a predicted model, not a curated record
UUGCUUUGACAGCACAUAUACUAAAAUAAGAAUAAUACAGAGAAGAUUUGCAUGGUCCCUGCACAAGGACAGCAUGCAAAUCUGUGAAGCAUUUCAUAUUUUA